AUUGAACGCUGGCGGCAGGCCUAACACAUGCAAGUCGAACGGUAACAGGAAGCAGCUUGCUGCUUUGCUGACGAGUGGCGGACGGGUGAGAAGUGUCUGGGAAACUGCCCGAUGGAGGGGGAUAACUACUGGAAACGGUAGCUAAUACCGCAUAACGUCGCAAGAACAAAGAGGGGGACCUUAGGGCCUCUUGCCAUCGGAUGUGCCCAGAUGGGAUUAGCUAGUAGGUGGGGUAACGGCUCACCCAGGCGACGAUCCCUAGCUGGUCUGAGAGGAGGACCAGCCACACUGGACCUGAGACACGGUCCAGACUCCUACGGGAGGCAGCAGUGGGGAAUAUUGCACAAUGGGCGCAAGCCUGCUGCAGCCAUGCCGCGUGUAUGAAGAAGGCCUUCGGGUUGUAAAGUACUUUCAGCGGGGAGGAAGGGAGUAAAGUUAAUACCUUUGCUCAUUGACGUUACCCGCAGAAGAAGCACCGGCUAACUCCGUG
RNAcentral lists this ribosomal RNA (490 nucleotides) under uncultured bacterium. Its description in RNAcentral is "partial 16S ribosomal RNA". It matches the Rfam family "Bacterial small subunit ribosomal RNA", at positions 30 to 507 of the family's 1533-position model. The record is from RNAcentral.